CUGCUAGUUGCACGAGUUCAGACUCGUAGGCAUAUAGCUCAGUAACACGUGGCCAAACUACCCUACAGACCGCGAUAACCUCGGGAAACUGAGGCCAAUAGCGGAUAUCACUCUCAGACUGGAGUGUCGAGAGUUAGAAACGUUCCGGCGCUGUAGGAUGUGGCUGCGGCCGAUUAGGUAGAUGGUGGGGUAACGGCCCACCAUGCCGAUAAUCGGUACAGGUUGUGAGAGCAAGAGCCUGGAGACGGUAUCUGAGACAAGAUACCGGGCCCUACGGGGCGCAGCAGGCGCGAAACCUUUACACUGCACGACAGUGCGAUAGGGGGACUCCGAGUGUGAGGGCAUAUAGCCCUCGCUUUUCUGUACCGUAAGGUGGUACAGGAACAAGGACUGGGCAAGACCGGUGCCAGCCGCCGCGGUAAUACCGGCAGUCCAAGUGAUGGCCGAUAUUAUUGGGCCUAAAGCGUCCGUAGCUUGCUGUGUAAGUCCAUUGGGAAAUCGACCAGCUCAACUGGUCGGCGUCCGGUGGAAACUACACAGCUUGGGGCCGAGAGACUCAACGGGUACGUCCGGGGUAGGAGUGAAAUCCUGUAAUCCUGGACGGACCACCAAUGGGGAAACCACGUCUGAGAGACCGGACCCGACAGUGAGGGACGAAAGCCAGGGUCUCGAACCGGAUUAGAUACCCGGGUAGUCCUGGCUGUAAACAAUGCUCGCUAGGUAUGUCACGCGCCAUGAGCACGUGCAUGUGC
RNAcentral lists this ribosomal RNA (752 nucleotides) under Haloarcula sp. W60. RNAcentral describes it as "bacterial SSU rRNA". It matches the Rfam family "Archaeal small subunit ribosomal RNA", at positions 51 to 801 of the family's 1478-position model. Lineage: Archaea; Methanobacteriati; Methanobacteriota; Halobacteria; Halobacteriales; Haloarculaceae. The record is from RNAcentral.